RNAcentral lists this long non-coding RNA (2636 nucleotides) under Homo sapiens (human). RNAcentral's name for it is "HSALNT0061869". Lineage: Eukaryota; Metazoa; Chordata; Mammalia; Primates; Hominidae. The record is from RNAcentral.
UUGACUUUAUAGUGGUUUUCCAGCUAGCCAGAAUAUGCCUAUAUUAAUUUCUUUAGUAUCAUUUUAUCCAAAUGAAAACACAAUAUUUGAAAAAUGUUCCAGAUCUCUAAGAAUACAUUUUUGGAACCUCAGGCAUCUAUUAAUCUUUGUUUGUACAAUGUCACUGAAGGAUUUUAACCUGAGAAUUAAUACAAUAAGAAGUACAAAUGAUCAAUAAACAUAAUUAUUCUUUCUCACUAGGGGAAAAAAAAGGGACUGAAAAUAAGACCUGAUGACAAUAAUAAGUAUUUUGGAGGGUUCAAGGAGAAGAAUUGUCACCCUUAUACACUGCCUUUGGGAUUUUAAUUAAGUUUCACAUUUCUUGAAAGCAAAUUGAUCAUGUAUAUUAAAGACAUAAAAAUAUGUAUACCCUUGACUCAAUUGUUUCCACUUCUAGACAUGUAUUAUAAGAACAUAAUAAAAUUCACAUGGAUACAUUAAUUAACAUAGUAAGUGGCACAUAAUAUGCACUCGAUAAAUAUUUACAUACACACACACAGACAUACUAUGCCUGUACUUAUGUCUGUCAAUAUGCUAGGUGUUGGACAUACAAUAAUGACGAGAAAGUACAGUUUAGUUGUGGAGAUAAAUUAAAAAUUACAUAAACAUGUAACAACUAUGGCACGUUUCAUGGGAAAAGGAGAUGUGGAUGCCUUUAAGAGAGGUUUUUUUUUCCAAAUGUGUAAUUUUUAUUGGUACAUAGUAGGUGUAUAUAUUUAUUGGGUACAUGUGGCGUUCUGAUACAGGAGUACAAUGUGUACAUAGAACACAUCAGGGCAAAUGAGAUAUCCAUCACUUCAAACGUUUAUUUCUUUGUGUUAGGAACAUUCCAAUUCCAUUCUUUUAGUUAUUUUAAAAUUUGCAAUAAAUUGCUGUUGACUAUAGCCACCCUGUUGUGCUAUCAAGUACCAGAUCUUAUUUAUUUUAUCCAACUAUCUUUUGGUACCGAUUAACCAUCCCCUUUCCCCACCCCUCUCCCCACAACCAACACCCUUCCCAGCCUCUGAUAACUGUCACCCUACCAUCUAUUACCAUGAGUUCAAUACUUUUAAUAUUUAGCUCCCACAAAAGAGUGAGAACAUGCAGAACUUCUCUUUUUGUGCCUGGCUUAUUUCACAUAACAAAAUAUCCUCCAGUGCCACCCAUGUUGUUGCUAAUGACAGGAUCUCAUUCUAUUUUAUGGCUGAAUAGCAUAUCAUUGUGUAUAUGUACCACAUUUUCUUUAUCCAUUCAUCUUUUGGAUAGUUACAUUGAUUCCAAAUCUUGGCUAUUGUGAAUAGUGCUACAAUAAACAUGGGAGUACAGAUCUCUUCAAUACACCCUCCCUUUUGGGUAUAUAACUAGUGGUAGGAUUGCUGGAUCCUAUGAUAGGUCUAUUUUAGUUUUGUAAGGAACCUCCACACUGUUCUUCAUAGUGGCUGUACUAAUUUACAUUCCCACCAACAGUCUAUGGAAGGUUCACUUUCUCCACAUCCUUGUCAGCAUUUGUGAUUGCCUAUCUUUUGGAUGAAAGCCAUUUUAACCAGGGUGAGGUGAUAUCUUAUUGUGAUUUGUAUUUGCAUUUCUCUGAUGAUUAGUGAUGUUGAUCAUUUUCCCCAUAUACCUGUUGCCCCUUUGUAUGUCUUAUUUUAAGAAAUGUCUAUUCAGACAUUUUGCCUAUUUUUAAAUCAUAUUAUUAGUUAGGUUUUUUUCCUAUUGAGAUGUUUGAGCUUCUUAUAUAUUCUGGUUAUUAAUCCCUUAUCAAAUGGAUAGUUUGCAAAUAUUUUCUCCCAUUUCUGUCUGUUUUUGCUUUUGAGGUAUUACUUAAGAAAUUUUUGCACAGACCAAGGGGCAAAACUCUUUGAGAGCUUCCCCAAUGUUUUCUUUGUUGUUUAAUAGUUUGAGGUCUUAGAUUUAAUUCUUUAAUCGAUUUGGAUUUGUUUUUUAUAUGUGACAAGAGAUAAGGGUCUAGUUUCAUUCUUCUGCAUGUGGAUAUUCAAUUUUCCCAGCACUAUUUAUUGAAGAGACUGUCCCUUCCCCAAUGUAUGUUCUUAGCACCUUUGCUGAAAAUGUUUACUGUAGAUGUAUGGAUUUAUUUCUGAGUUAUCUAUUAUUUUCCAUAGGUCUACGUGUCUGUUUUUAUGCCAGUACCAUGCUGUUUUGAUUACUAUAGCUCUGUAGUAUAACUUGAGGUCAGGCAAUGUGAUUCCUUCAGUGUUGUUCUUGUUGCUCCAGAUGGCUUUGGCUAUUCUGGGUCUUUUGCAGCUCCAUGUAAACUUUAGGAUUUUAAAAAAUUUCGAACAGAGGUAUUUAUUAGGUUGGUUCAAAAGUAAUUGUGGUUUUUGCCAUUGAAAGUUAUGGUAAAACCCACAAUUGCUUUUGCAUCAACAUAAUAACAUGAUCAAAGAGGUCAAAAAUGGUUUCCCCCAAGAAAACACCUAUAAGCUGAAAGCUGAAUGAUGGACAGGUGCUAACUAGAAGACCAGAAAAAGCAAGUUUCAAACAGAGAAGUGGCAUGUGCAAAGGUCCUGAGGUGGGAAGAAACAUGCUGGAUACAAGACUUGAUGGGAAACCAUUGUGACUGCCAUGGCAAGAAAAGGGGGAAUGUGGUAUGUGAU